AUGCAGUCGAACGAACUUCCGUUAAUUGAUUAUGAGGUGCUUGCACUGAAUGAGAUUUUAACACGAAGUGAGUGGCGGACGGGUGAGUAACACGUGGGUAACCUGCCCAGAAGCAGGGGAUAACACCUGGAAACAGAUGCUAAUACCGUAUAACAGAGAAAACCGCCUGGUUUUCUUUUAAAAGAUGGCUCUGCUAUCACUUCUGGAUGGACCCGCGGCGCAUUAGCUAGUUGGUGAGGUAACGGCUCACCAAGGCGAUGAUGCGUAGCCGACCUGAGAGGGUAAUCGGCCACAUUGGGACUGAGACACGGCCCAGACUCCUACGGGAGGCAGCAGUAGGGAAUCUUCCACAAUGGACGCAAGUCUGAUGGAGCAACGCCGCGUGAGUGAAGAAGGGUUUCGGCUCGUAAAGCUCUGUUGUUAAAGAAGAACGUGGGUGAGAGUAACUGUUCACCCAGUGACGGUAUUUAACCAGAAAGCCACGGCUAACUACGUGCCAGCAGCCGCGGUAAUACGUAGGUGGCAAGCGUUAUCCGGAUUUAUUGGGCGUAAAGCGAGCGCAGGCGGUCUUUUAAGUCUAAUGUGAAAGCCUUCGGCUCAACCGAAGAAGUGCAUUGGAAACUGGGAGACUUGAGUGCAGAAGAGGACAGUGGAACUCCAUGUGUAGCGGUGAAAUGCGUAGAUAUAUGGAAGAACACCAGUGGCGAAGGCGGCUGUCUGGUCUGUAACUGACGCUGAGGCUCGAAAGCAUGGGUAGCGAACAGGAUUAGAUACCCUGGUAGUCCAUGCCGUAAACGAUGAUUACUAAGUGUUGGAGGGUUUCCGCCCUUCAGUGCUGCAGCUAACGCAUUAAGUAAUCCGCCUGGGGAGUACGACCGCAANNUGAAACUCAAAAGAAUUGA
RNAcentral lists this ribosomal RNA (902 nucleotides) under Pediococcus acidilactici. Its description in RNAcentral is "bacterial SSU rRNA". It matches the Rfam family "Bacterial small subunit ribosomal RNA", at positions 55 to 913 of the family's 1533-position model. The record is from RNAcentral. Lineage: Bacteria; Bacillati; Bacillota; Bacilli; Lactobacillales; Lactobacillaceae.